RNAcentral lists this ribosomal RNA (494 nucleotides) under uncultured bacterium. Its description in RNAcentral is "partial 16S ribosomal RNA". It matches the Rfam family "Bacterial small subunit ribosomal RNA", at positions 28 to 507 of the family's 1533-position model. The record is from RNAcentral.
GACGAACGCUGGCGGCGCGCUUAACACAUGCAAGUCGAACGGAAAGGCCUGCUUUCCCUUGUGGAUUGCGGGUACUCGAGUGGCGAACGGGUGAGUAACACGUGAGUGAUCUGCCCCCAACUUGGGUAUAAGCCUGGGAAACUGGGUCUAAUUCCCGAUAGGACUGCAGGGUGGUGCCUGUGGUGGAAAACGAUUUUCUAGUGGUUGGGGAUGAGCUCGCGGCCUAUCAGCUUGUUGGUGGGGUAAUGGCCUACCAAGGCGGCGACGGGUAGCCGGCCUGAGAGGGUGGACGGCCACAUUGGGACUGAGAUACGGCCAAGACUCCGACGGGAGGCAGCAGUGGGGAAUAUUGCACAAUGGGCGGAAGCCUGAGGCAGCGACGCCGCGUGGGGGAUGACGGCCUUCGGGUUGUAAACUCCUUUCGACCGCGAGGAAGCCACCUGGUUGGAAGGGUGGUGACGGUAGUGGUAGAAGAAGCACCGGCUAACUACGUG